CUGCACUUCAUAAGACUAAAAAUUUCCUGAAUAUAGAGUAUAUUGGACAAGUGUGAUGAGAAAUUUCCUUUAAACUUGCUUUAUACAUAUAUUCAACAACAACAAAAUGAGCCAGAUGACAUAGCACUCACCGUAGAACUCCAGCAUCAAGAAGCUGAGGGAGAAGAGCUGUACAGCUCAGCCCCAGAGAGGAAUUUGCAAAGAUGCUUGAACAUUGCCCAUGUGAGGACUGGGAGGUGGGACACUUGAAGAUGAAGCAUGAGACUGUGAGGAAAACAAGGGCUUUGCGAGUUAGCUCUGAAGCCUAAUGGUAACAUUAUGUGCUGCCUCUUUGGAGAGCAUUUGGUGAAAAAUAACUGGGAUGACUGGAGAUACACCAGGCCUGUGUGACACAGACAGAGUCAUCCUGAGGGACAGAAGCCAAUGCCGGCUGCCAGGAAGAUCAGAAGUAAAGCACCAGAUGUCCUUGGACUUUGUGCGACC
Mus musculus (house mouse) is the source of this 483-nucleotide long non-coding RNA. RefSeq annotates it as predicted gene, 34477. Lineage: Eukaryota; Metazoa; Chordata; Mammalia; Rodentia; Muridae. The record is from RefSeq and is a predicted model, not a curated record. The transcript is spliced from 3 exons.